This 444-nucleotide ribosomal RNA is filed under the name Actinomyces sp. oral taxon A50. RNAcentral describes it as "bacterial SSU rRNA". It matches the Rfam family "Bacterial small subunit ribosomal RNA", at positions 28 to 468 of the family's 1533-position model. Lineage: Bacteria; Bacillati; Actinomycetota; Actinomycetes; Actinomycetales; Actinomycetaceae. The record is from RNAcentral.
GACGAACGCUGGCGGCGUGCUUAACACAUGCAAGUCGAACGAAAAUACCAAGCUUGCUUGGUUGAUUAGUGGCGAACGGGUGAGUAACACGUGAGUAACCUGCCCCUUACUUUCUGGAUAACUGCUCGAAAGGGUAGCUAAUACGGGAUAUUCUGACCGGCCUGCAUGGGCUGGUUUGGAAAGGUUUUUCUCUGGUGAGGGAUGGGCUCGCGGCCUAUCAGCUUUUGGUGGGGUGAUGGCCUACCAAGGCUUUGACGGGUAGCCGGCCUGAGAGGGUGGACGGUCACACUGGGACUGAGAUACGGCCCAGACUCCUACGGGAGGCAGCAGUGGGGAAUAUUGCACAAUGGGCGCAAGCCUGAUGCAGCGACGCCGCGUGAGGGAUGAAGGCCUUCGGGUUGUAAACCUCUUUCGUCAGGGAACAAGGCACUGCUUUGGUGGUGU